GCCUAAGCAUUUCCUUUACUGACUCAUACAAGGUUUUUCAACAUUUCAGUACAAAAAGACAAGACAAAAAGAUGAGUCUUAAAAUCUUCAUUAUGGAACUCUGACAAUGAAUAGAGAAAGAAGGUGCAGGUACAUUUAGCACAUGUGUGAUGUGUACAUUUAGCACAGGUAUGCUGUGUACAUUUAGCACAGGUAUGCUGUGUACAUUUAGCACAGGUAUGAUAGUAUGCUAAUCAUGCUACUUGUAUGCUGUGUACAUUUAGCAGAUAUGUGCUGUGUACAUUUAGCACAGGUAUGCUGUGUACAUUUAGCAGAUGUAUGAUAGUAUGCUAAUCAUGCUACUUGUAUGCUGUGUACAUUUAGCACAGGUAUGAU
This is a long non-coding RNA of Clupea harengus (Atlantic herring), 375 nucleotides long. Lineage: Eukaryota; Metazoa; Chordata; Actinopteri; Clupeiformes; Clupeidae. The record is from Ensembl.